RNAcentral lists this unclassified non-coding RNA (374 nucleotides) under Hevea brasiliensis (rubber tree). The record is from RNAcentral. Lineage: Eukaryota; Viridiplantae; Streptophyta; Magnoliopsida; Malpighiales; Euphorbiaceae.
GGAUGAGGCUGAUAAGCUUCUUUCACCAGAAUUCCAACCUUCCAUCGAGCAGCUGAUCUGCUUCCUACCUGCAAAUCGCCAGAUUUUGAUGUUUUCUGCAACAUUUCCUGUUACUGUCAAAGACUUUAAAGAAAGAUAUUUGCACAAGCCAUAUGUUAUCAACCUCAUGGAUGAACUUACACUCAAGGGUAUAACACAAUUUUAUGCUUUCGUUGAAGAAAGACAGAAGAUUCACUGCCUUAACACUCUCUUCUCAAAGCUUCAAAUUAACCAAUCAAUUAUUUUUUGCAACUCUGUAAAUCGUGUGGAACUUCUUGCCAAAAAGAUUACUGAGCUGGGCUAUUCAUGCUUCUACAUUCAUGCUAAGAUGCUUC